Molecule: ribosomal RNA, 295 nt
Filed under: Wolbachia endosymbiont of Brugia sp.
Lineage: Bacteria; Pseudomonadati; Pseudomonadota; Alphaproteobacteria; Rickettsiales; Anaplasmataceae
Description: partial 16S ribosomal RNA
Rfam family: Bacterial small subunit ribosomal RNA
Source: RNAcentral
CAGGUGUUGCAUGGCUGUCGUCAGCUCGUGUCGUGAGAUGUUGGGUUAAGUCCCGCAACGAGCGUAACCCUCAUCCUUAGUUACCAUCAGGUAAUGCUGGGGACUUUAAGGAAACUGCUAGUGAUAAACUGGAGGAAGGUGGGGAUGAUGUCAAGUCAUCAUGGCCCUUAUGGAGUGGGCUACACACGUGCUACAAUGGUGGCUACAAUGGGCUGCAAAGUCGCGAGGCCAAGCUAAUCCCUUAAAAGCCAUCUCAGUUCGGAUUGUACUCUGCAACUCGAGUGCAUGAAGUUGG